RNAcentral lists this ribosomal RNA (446 nucleotides) under uncultured bacterium. RNAcentral's name for it is "partial 16S ribosomal RNA". It matches the Rfam family "Bacterial small subunit ribosomal RNA", at positions 338 to 795 of the family's 1533-position model. The record is from RNAcentral.
CCUACGGGUGGCAGCAGUCGAGAAUCAUUCACAAUGGGGGAAACCCUGAUGGUGCGACGCCGCGUGGGGGAAUGAAGGUCUUCGGUUUGUAAACCCUUGUCAUGUGGGAGCAAAUUAAAAAGUUAGUACCACAAGAGGAAGAGACGGCUAACUCUGUGCCAGCAGCCGCGGUAAUACGGAGGUCUCAAGCGUUGUUCGGAAUCACUGGGCGUAAAGCGUGCGCAGGCUGUUACGUAAGUCGUGUGUGAAAGGCGCGGGCUCAACCCGCGGACGGCACAUGAUACUGCGAGAAUAGAGUAAUGGAGGGGGAACCGGAAUUCUCGGUGUAGCAGUGAAAUGCGUAGAUAUAGAGAGGAACACUCGUGGCGAAGGCGGGUUCCUGGACAUUAACUGACGCUGAGGCACGAAGGCCAGGGGAGCGAAAGGGAUUAGAUACCCUUGUAGUC